RNAcentral lists this unclassified non-coding RNA (232 nucleotides) under Hevea brasiliensis (rubber tree). The record is from RNAcentral. Lineage: Eukaryota; Viridiplantae; Streptophyta; Magnoliopsida; Malpighiales; Euphorbiaceae.
GUCCACUGGUCCUCAUCUAAGGGCUUGUUUCAAUUCUGUUCCUCACUUUCAAUUUGUAUAAAAACUAAUACUAAAAUAUCUGUGAACCGAUAUUACUGUUUUCUAGAUUAAUCUGCUCACAUGCCACAUUCAUUCUGACAACAAGUUUCUUUCUUCUCCAAUUUCUUUCUCGCUCUCUCUAAUUUGCUCACAUUUGCCUGCUCUCUCUGAUUAUGCCUCUCUCUCACUGGUU